This 255-nucleotide ribosomal RNA is filed under the name uncultured bacterium. RNAcentral describes it as "partial 16S ribosomal RNA". It matches the Rfam family "Bacterial small subunit ribosomal RNA", at positions 524 to 776 of the family's 1533-position model. The record is from RNAcentral.
UACGUAGGGUGCAAGCGUUAAUCGGAAUUACUGGGCGUAAAGCGUGCGCAGGCGGUUCGCUAAGACAGAUGUGAAAUCCCCGGGGCUUAACCUGGGAACUGCAUUUGUGACUGGCGGGCUAGAGUAUGGCAGAGGGGGGGUAGAAUUCCACGUGUAGCAGUGAAAUGCGUAGAGAUGUGGAGGAAUACCGAUGGCGAAGGCAGCCCCCUGGGCCAAUACUGACGCUCAUGCACGAAAGCGUGGGGAGCAAACAGG